AAGAGCCGUGUGUGGGAAAACCACAAGCACGGUUCCGUGGGGGGUGCUGUGAUGGUAAACACUAAUAUUUUAGAGGAGUAACUAUUAUGGCUUCUACCCGAC
Legionella feeleii is the source of this 102-nucleotide non-coding RNA. The record is from Rfam. Lineage: Bacteria; Pseudomonadati; Pseudomonadota; Gammaproteobacteria; Legionellales; Legionellaceae.